UAUGCAUGUUUGCAUCUUUUCUUCUCAUGAAUCUUAUAUCAAGAAAUAUAAUUCAGGAAACAAGUAUUUAGGUGGAGCAAUACCAGUUUUCCAUAAAUAUUAUCCACCAACUGCACUGUAAUUUGAACCAUUCAUUUUUUGUUAAAUGCGUUAACUAGGUGAAUUUUCUCAAAAAAGGCUGCCAUUGUUUUCUAAAACAUUAGUGGGCAUGGCAACGCGCCCCUUUAUGUCCCAGUGUUUACUGUUUGAAAACUUUUUGCGACCACUUCGGUUAGCUACUAGCAAGUAUGCACGUGCGCACACACACAUGCCCACAACAACAAGCAUGCACAUACAACACAACACACAUGGACUGCUCUUGAUUUGUCAAUAGUAUGCUGUCACUUUUCUUUGAUCUUCUCUACCACUGAUUGUUUUUUCAAUACUAAGGGAAGUCGAAGUUUCUGAUUGGUGAUCCUUUUGCUUCAGGAUACUUAAUUGCCUUGCAUUGAGCUUUUAUUCGAACGAGGGAUAAUUGAGUAGUAGCUGAAUUCUCCGGUUGGAUCAAGAAGCAAACAAAAUUAGAAAAAAUUACUUAGCAAUAACUGUAGUUUACAUUCAUAGUUGAAAAAAAUGUAAUAUCAUGCAGAAGAUCUUUUUCUUUGUUUGAAUUGAAGCAAAUGCUAUGAUGUAAUAUUCUUCAUAUAUAUGUUCUUUGUAGUCAAAUUAUAUGAAUGAUAUAUUGUUGGAUCAAUAUUAUUGGUAUUUGUUUAUUGUAA
Long non-coding RNA from Hordeum vulgare subsp. vulgare (domesticated barley), 758 nucleotides. RefSeq lists it as uncharacterized. Lineage: Eukaryota; Viridiplantae; Streptophyta; Magnoliopsida; Poales; Poaceae. The transcript has 2 exons. The record is from RefSeq and is a predicted model, not a curated record.